This 711-nucleotide long non-coding RNA is filed under the name Fukomys damarensis (Damara mole-rat). RNAcentral's name for it is "lncRNA (ENSFDAG00000030823.1)". Lineage: Eukaryota; Metazoa; Chordata; Mammalia; Rodentia; Bathyergidae. The record is from RNAcentral.
CUCCUCACAAACAUACCAGAAAGAAGAAUCCUACCCUAGUUGGGGGAGGGGAGUGAUAGGUGAUCUAAUACUUUUUUGCAUUGUUACAGGCUUUGAGUCGCUUAUCUACCCAGUAACUUAAUGCAUUGUAAACUGUUUGUUUCAUAUUGGUGGAGAUUACAUGAAGAAGAACAAGAUAAGCACUUGUGUACUUGUGUGUCUGGGCUGGCUUCUACCAUCCCCAAAAGAAAAUCAUGUCUUAACUGACCUACGGAGAGAAAGAGCUGAAGACCUACUGAGCCAGUCUUCAUAGCUAGCCCUGAGCCAACCCAUAAACACAUGGGGAGCUCUGGUCUUUACUGCGAGCAUCACUUCCUGGCUCCAGCACAGAUCCUUCAUCCCAUCAGCACAGACUUUCUAACUUUCACCACUGGCCUUUGUGCCUUCCUGGUACAGAUCCUUGAUGCAGAUUUGCACGAGACAUCGAUGUAGGCUCUAGGCCUCUGGCUAGACUUGUGGGGGACAUUGCUUUAGGCUCCGAGACUUCAGCUGGACUUCUGUGGAUCAUUGCUGUGGGAUCCAAGCCCUUGGCUGGAUUCUUUGGGUCUCUAGCAUGUGGAUAGAUCUCUUGUACUCCUCAGCAUUUGACUUUUUGAGUGAAUAUUUUCAAAUAGUUGUGUAAAUUACGUGUCCUGUAUUAAAAUCUAUUCCCUUGCAAACCCUGACUACAAC